GGGGGCGGUGUACACCGACUACUGGGGGCGAGUGUGGUGUUGCUAGUUGGUGGCUGAGACUAGUUCGUGCCGGGGCUAGUUGAGAGAAGCAGAGAAAUUUGGCAAGCGGAAUGGAUGACACGAGGCCAACAAUACCACUUGUAGCAAGGCAUUCAAAGGGACAUGCUACUCAGUAUCUCACUGCCUUUGCAGCUAUCAUGGGUGCCCUGGCUGCUGGGACUGUGUUGGGCUACUCGUCUCCAGCUGGUCCUAAAUUCAUGUCUAAUACAACCACUGGACCGCUGCAUCUGACCACGGAACAAAAUAUGUGGUUCUCAUCGUCAAUGAACUAGGGAGCUCUGAUGGGGGGGUCCUGUUGGUGGCCUAUGUCUUGGUGUUUUAAGUAGAUGAGGCACAAUGCUGGCUUCCACGGUACCCUUUGUCGCUGGAUGGCUUC
This is a non-coding RNA of Procambarus clarkii (red swamp crayfish), 436 nucleotides long. The record is from RefSeq and is a predicted model, not a curated record. Lineage: Eukaryota; Metazoa; Arthropoda; Malacostraca; Decapoda; Cambaridae.